GGGCGACCGCAGUCAGAGACUCACCAUGGAGCGCAGGGUGGUCAAGCCACCGGGACAGGAUAUGGUAGUGGAGCGUCUCAAAAGCCGCUACGGCCUGGCGGGAAGGUGCCCCGUGGAGGUGAGAUGGGUGGAAGCCGCGGUGGGCUCUGCUGGGCGGCCGCGGGAGGUCGCUAGCCCUGCCUUCCUCGGGGAGGCUCACUAGAGAGUUCCCGCCCUCGGGGAAACCGCCUCGACGGACGGGGCGUGGCUUUGGUCCUGGUAACCAAUGCUGGCGGUGACCAAAGUGCAGCAGGCACGGAAGACACUGUAGUUCCUUCUGGAAAGCAUCUUACUCCGAAGUAAUUGCAAACUUACAGAAAAGUUGUGGCGAUGUGCAUUCUUGUAGUCCUCCCUUGAGAGCGCCAUUCACCAGGAGAGUCUUGCCAUUUUUGAGGCGGGGCCCCCACUGAGGUCUUUGCUAAUAUCUUGUGAGAGGUCGGCCAGAUCACAUCUUCGAUGAAUCCUGGAAGAACAGAAGCGGGAGACCAAUUACAUACCUCAGUUUGCACGACCAGAUUCGGUUUUUUUUUUUAAAUCCUCACCCUCUGAUAACAGAGUUAGGUGUUUACAGUUCAGCUGAGAAGCCUGCUUGACAGCCCAGCAUGGUCAAGGUUAUAUAAAGCAUAACAAUGUUGUCUUCAAAAAAAUCAUCUGAGGUAUGGGAACAUCAUUUACCCUGACUUCUCCAGAAGGAAAACGACAUGACUGGUGUGUGGGCUGCUCUGAUGAAUCAACAGCAUGAACUUUCAGAUUUUGACCAGACUAAAUAUAAAAGAAGAAUUGUGACCUCCCCAGAUGGUUUAGAUACUUACAGCUCUGGAGAUAAAGUGGGUUCCUCACCAAGAUAUUACUCUGAUGGAAGGAAUCAUCCGACUCCACCUUUCUGCAGUUCCUUCAAACAUUUAAAUGUGAACUGCCUAGAUGAUGAACUGGAUUCUUUUCAUGAUUUAAAGAAAUGGGAAACAGAAAAGGAAUUAAUGGAAGAUGAUCAUAGAGAUGGUGCCUCCAAAAUAACAAAGCAGUCUUUCAAAGAAAUGGAAACCGAUGCCUUGAUGACUAGCAUGGCCUCAGGCCUUGAGACUGAAUGCUGCAGUGGUUCCAUUGACAGUCCUCUGAAGCAGGCCGUGUACCCAAGACCCAAAGUGUCAAAGAAGCAGGGUUUGCUUCCACAUGAAAUAAAUCAAAUAUAUGAUGAAUUAUACCAUAUACAUAUGAAACUGCAGUAUGAAACUACAGCACAGAAGAAAUUUGCAGAAGAACUUCAAAAACGAGAACAGUUUUUAGCAGAACGAGAACAGCUGCUUUUCAGCCAUGAAACUGCCUUGAGCAAAAUUAAAGGUGUGAAAGAAGAGGUUCUGACAAGAUUUCAGAUUUUAAAGGAGCAACAUGGUACGGAAAUUGAACACUUAACUGAAGCUCUUAAGGAAAAGAAUAAAGAGAACAAGAGAAUGAGGUCCUCCUUUGAUACCCUGAGAGAGCUGAAUGAUAACUUAAGAAAACAGCUAAAUGAAGUAAGUGAGGAAAACAAGAAGAUGGAGAUUCAGGCCAAAAGGGUCCAAGCUCGUUUAGAUAACUUACAGAGGAAGUAUGAGUUUAUGACAGUGCAGAGACUGAAAGGAGACUCCCAUGCUGCUCAUGAAGUGAAGAGUUCAAAACAAGAAAAGGCCCCAGCUCCAAAACCCUUCAAGGCAGCACUCAAUGGACAAGUGUACGAGCUGCUCACUGUUUUCAUGGAUUGGAUAUCAGACUGCCACCUUAGCAAAGUGGAGCCUGAGGAACCUGGUGUAGAUGGGGGAAAGCCACCAGCCAAGCCUUCCCAGAGAAGUGACAUUCAAGAGAAAUGUGUAAAGCUGUUGCCUAUGAUGACAGAGCAGCUCCAGUGGAUGCCGCUAGUGAGCGCCAAACUGCACGAGCCGUUCGUAAGGUUUAUCUAUUGGUCUCUGAGGCAGCUGGAUGCCAGCGCACGGGUACUGAGUCAUUGGAAUGUGUCUUACCAUCAGUUCUCUUGGCCAUGUUUCACAGAAAAGGAGAUAGCACGUGUGCAUACACUCUGUUCUUUUUCUGUUUAAGAACAAUCUUCUCUGUUCAAUACUGUCCUAAGGGUCUGAUAGGAAUUGUAUUCAACUUGUAGACCAAUUCAUGUGCUCAGUCUUUUCAACAUAGGAACGUACCCAUCUUUUCACUCACAACGUCAUGUUCUUGCAUCAGUAUUGUAUAAUUUUUGCAUAAAAUUCAUGUGAACGCUCACAGUCAUCCAUUAAACGGAGCACAGGGUCCCCAAUGGAGGAGCUAGAAAAGGUCCCCAGGGAGCUGAAGGGGUGUGCAGCCCCAUAGGAGGAACAACAACAUGAACCAACCAGUACCCCCAGAGCUCCCUGGGACUAAACCACCAAAAGAAAAACAAAACAAAACAAAACAAAACAAAACACACCACACAUACACAGAGGGACUCGUUGCUCUAGCUGCAUAUGUAGCAGAGGAUGGCCUAGUCGGUCAUCAAUGAGAGGAGAGGCUCUUGACACUGUGAAGGUUCUAUGCCCCAGUACAGGGGAAUGCCUGGGCCAGGAAAUGGGAGUGGGUGGGUUGAGGAGCAGGGGGAGGGGGGAGAGGAUAGGGGGUUUUCGGAUGGGAAACUAGGAAAGGGGAUAACAUUUGAAAUGUAAAUAAAGAAAAUACUAAUAAAAAAUUCAUGUGCACACUCCUUUAGAUCUUCACCUAUUUAAGUAUUUAAGUGAUAUUUAUCUGUUAAACUUUGUAGUCUAUAUGUUUAUGGUACUAGCAUGUUUGCCUACAUGCAUGUAAGUGCACCAUGUGCAUGCAGUGUCCACAGAGGUAAAAACAAGAGCAUUGGAUAACCUGACUGGAAUUACAGAGGGUUGUGAGUUAUGUGGGUGCUGGGAACUGAACCCAGGUCUUCUGCAAGACCAAUAAGUGUUCUUAAGCAAUAAGCCAUCUCUGUAGGCCUGAGAUAUAUUUUGAGGAAAGUUUUAAAUUAUGAAUUUAAUUUUUAUUAAAUUUUUAUAAUAUUGUGUGUGUAUGUGUGUGUGCACGAGCACACACCAUGCACACAUAGCACAUACAUGGGCUCUUAAGCCAUGCAGAGGUCAGAGGACAACUUCCACCAUGUGGGUUCCGAAGAUUAAAGUUAGGUUGGCAAGUUAGGCAGCAGGGGCCUUUCCCUGUUGAACCAUCUCCCCAGCCCCAGAUCCUGGUAGUUACACGGUUAUUGUGAUUUUUCUAACUUCUUGUAGUUUGUGACUUUUGAGGAAAUGGCUUAUUUUGUCUCACCGACAAAUACACAUCUAGGAUUUGGAAUGUAAAGAUAAGGUAUGCUCUCUGACAUCAGCCGCUGCACGGAGACAGACAAUGUGUUUUCACGGGGCCCUCCCUCUUCUUUGUGCCUCAGUGUCCAGAGUAGUGGCUCUGUUACACAUCAGUGUGGACAAUUUGUGGGCAUUUACUUCUUUACCUUGGCUGUUUUUCCUAAACUUUUUUUUUUUAUUGAUCUUUCAAAGGAUCAUUUCAUUGCUUCAAUUUAAUUAAUUUCUUCUACAAUUUUUGCUUUCAAUUUAAUUAAUUUCUUCUCCUCUCUUAUUUUCUCCUACUACUUUAAGUUUAUUUUGCUCUCUUAUUUCUAGGUUACUGAACUGAAGAUUUAGAUUACUGUUUUACGACUGUUUAUUCUUUUCUGUAUGUUGUAGUGUUUGAAUUGACAUAAUUUUACUGUGUAGCCUAGUCUGGCCUUAACUCACAGGUCUGUCUCAGCAGUGCUGAGAUUACAAUGUGUGUCACUGUGCCAGCUUCUCUCUUCCCUCCUCCCCGCUCCUCCCCUCCCUCCCAUCCUCCUCCCCUCCCUCUGUCCCUCCUCCUUCCCCUCACCCAUUCAGGUUCUUAUGCUUGUUUGUUCAGCAGCCACCUGAGGCAUCUCCCUUAUCCUACAUGUUUUGGUAGCCACAUUUUCAUUUAUACUUUUAAAAAUAUUUAUUUUACUUUUAUUUAUGUGUUUGUAUGUGUGUGUGUGUGUGUGUCUGUAUGGGUUUGUGCCAGAAGAGGGUGUCAGAUAUCUUGGACCUGGAGUUAGAAGCAGUUGUGAGCUGCCUGGCCGGGGUGCUGGGAUGUGAACUCUAGCUGUCUACAGGGGCAGCAAACACUCAUGAGUGCUGAGCCAUCUCUCCAGUCCCUUCAUUUACGAUGAACUUAGCUAGUGUUUUAAUUCCCUUAGAACUUCCUCUCUGUCCUAUGUCUUACUUAGAAGUUCCUUGUAGGUCUUUCUGUUUUUGUUUUGCUGCUGUGUCUGUAUUGUUGAAGUUAGUUCUUUGAUAUUUGUUCUGUUGUAGAGUGUUUUAUAAAUGUUAACUGGUGGUAUUUAUAUCCUCACUGAUAUAUUUAGUUCUCCUAUCAGUAGAGGAUAGUGUUUGGAGUUAUGUCACAGCCUGUGCAUCUGUCUUAGAAGAUUGUGUGCUAAAGUUAUGUCAUAGCCUGUGCAUUUGUGUUUCUCUUGGACCAUCUGUUUUUCUCUCACAUUAAAUAGUUAAUUUAAUUUUUUUUUUUCAUGAGAGCUGGGCAGUGGUGGCACAUACCUUUAACCCAGCACUCAGGAAGCAGAGGCACAUGGAUCUCUGAUUUGAAGCCAGUCUGGUCUACAUAGCAAGUUCCAGUUUGUCUGAGGCUACACAGAGCAACCCUGUCUCAAAAAACCAAACAAUCAAACAAAUAACCUUAUUAUGUGCAUGCACAUUUUACCUGUACGUAUACCACCACAUGUAUGCAGUACCCGUUGAUAUCAGAAGAGGGCCUCAGAUUGGCAUGAGUUGGAGUUAUACUUGUGAGCUGCCAUGUUAUGCUGGAAACCUAACCCCGGUCCUAUGCAAGAGCAGGAGGUGCUCUUAGCACCACACCAGCUCUCCAGCCUGUUCCACGUGGUACAACUUUGUUGGCUGGUGGAUAUACAUUCAGGAUUAUUACGUCUUCUUGAAUAUUGACCCUGUUUCUAUUAUGUAAUUUUCUUUUCAUUGUGAUCAUUUUCUUUAAUUUUUUUGAAUGACGCAAGUUUUAAUUGUUUUAGACUUUUAAAAAUAGGAACAUUCUGAGCUUAGAAUCAGUUUACAGAUCCUCAUGAAGAUGGAAAAUUAUGAAAAUCAGUGAUAAGGGCAGGAAGAAUUAAGUCACAACACGGAAACCUCUAAGUUAUUUCUAAGUCUAGCGUAAACGGUCUCGUUUCCAGUACUUUGAAAUGGCUUCCUCAUGUUUGUGUUAUGAGACUGCAGAACACCACCAGGUUCCAUAUUAUUGUAGAGAUACCAUUAUCUCUGUUUUGUCCAUUUUCUUGUUGCAAUAUAUUCCAUGAGAAUUUUCCAUGAUUCUCACCCAUUAUUUUUUUUUUUUUUUGAACUUACUAUGUUUUCAGAGUCCCUGGGGGUAUCUAUAAGCAAGACUGAUCUGAAAAUGUGAAGUCAGUCAUUUGACAAGCAAACCCUUCUGUGUCCUUGCCCAGGACAUGGCCUGGGGCUGGGGCUGGGGUUGGGGCUGGGGCUGGGGCUAGCCUAGGGCUGGAAGGAGUUAAGUUAGUCUUGGUUCCUGGGAACCCGGCUUUUCCUCCUUGAAGAGACUUGGGCCAUCUGUGCUCAGUCUCUGAGGCUUCCUCUGUGCAGCAUUGCUUGACAAGCUUCCUGCUGGCUCCACCCUUUCAUCUGGUCCUCUGAGAAAACCUUGGGAUGGCCUGGCUCCCAAGAGGAAAAGUGCAAUCAACUAUGGCAUCAACAUUGAGGAGAUUGGGGGAAGACGUAUUUAAAGGAGUUACAAUGAAAGGAACUCAGGAUAAUUCUUUAGAGCAUUCUGUGGAGAACAAAGCAAAGACAGCAGUGUUCUUCAAGAGCUCCAGCUUGCCACUGAGAUUCUUAUCAACCUUAAUUGUCCUCAGAACGGUCACUCAAGCUGACUACCUAGCUCAAGCGUUUGACUCCCUUUGUUUGGACUUGAAGACAGAUGAAGGAAAAACCUUAUUUUUGGAGUACCAAGCCAUUCCAGUAAUCCUAAAACACCUGAGAAUAUCCAGUAAAGGGCUCUUAUCCAAUGUCAUCGACAGCCUGCUUCAGAUGACAGUAGAGUCAAAGUCCCUGCAGCCAUUCCUGGAAGCCUGUAGUAACUCUUUGUUUUUUCGUACUUGUUCUGUGCUGCUGCGAACGCCGAAACUUGAUCUUCACAUCCUGGAAAAGCUCAGCAUCAUUCUACAGAAGCUUUCCAAAAUCAAGAGUAACAAGAAGCUCUUUGAAGUUUUUACCAUUCACCUAAUGCUUCAGGAAAUACAAAGGACAACACAUCCAGAGCACGCCUUUCUCUGUAUUAAUCUGAAUUCAACUCUGUUCAACCUGGGUUUGACAAAAUGUAACUCCCUGGUCACUAGUACAAGCCAUUAGAAAAAUGUGUGUGUGUGUGUGUGUGUGUGUGUGUGUGAUAUGUAUGUAUAUGUGUUCUUUAUUUGUAAAAGUGGAAAAAUCACUAAAAUACAAUUCCUCAGAGUAAAAUUAUUAACAGCAUCAUUUAUCAUGAAAGAUAUCUAGAAAGAUUUUUCAGCAACGUAAAUGAGACCCGUAGAAGGUAUGGCUGUUUUAGAAUGUUUCAGUUUAAGGUAAUACUAAUGUACAAGAUGACUUUUCCAGAAUUCAAGGCAUCAGGGUUAGAAUUCAAAGCAAUAGGGUUACAGUUUGUAAAAAUAUUUUAGGAAAAGUCUUCUUGAAAUUAUGUGAUUAUUUGGAAUAUAAUUUGUCCUUAUGUGGAAAUAAACUAUGUUAUCAUUUUUCCCUUAA
This is an RNA transcript of Mus musculus (house mouse), 6845 nucleotides long. It is a transcript of the gene named coiled-coil domain containing 138, with no coding region annotated. The record is from RefSeq and is marked validated. Lineage: Eukaryota; Metazoa; Chordata; Mammalia; Rodentia; Muridae. The transcript has 16 exons.